AAUAGAUACCCAGGUAGUCCACGCCGUAAACGAUGGAUACUAGCUGUUCGUCCGCCUCGGCGGAUGAGUGGCUAAGCGAAAGUGAUAAGUAUCCCACCUGGGGAGUACGAACGCAAGUUUGAAACUCAAAGGAAUUGACGGGGGCCCGCACAAGCGGUGGAGCAUGUGGUUUAAUUCGAUGAUACGCGAGGAACCUUACCAAGGCUUAAAUGUAGAUUGACAGGACAGGAAACAGUUUUUUCUUCGGACAAUUUACAAGGUGCUGCAUGGUUGUCGUCAGCUCGUGCCGUGAGGUGUCAGGUUAAGUCCUAUAACGAGCGCAACCCCUGUUGUUAGUUGCCAGCGAGUCAAGUCGGGAACUCUAACAAGACUGCCAGUGUAAACUGUGAGGAAGGUGGGGAUGACGUCAAAUCAUCACGGCCCUUACGCCUUGGGCUACACACGUGCUACAAUGGCCGGUACAGAGAGCAGCCACUGCGCGAGCAGGAGCGAAUCUAUAAAACCGGUCACAGUUCGGAUCGGAGUCUGCAACUCG
This 535-nucleotide ribosomal RNA is filed under the name uncultured bacterium. RNAcentral's name for it is "bacterial SSU rRNA". It matches the Rfam family "Bacterial small subunit ribosomal RNA", at positions 777 to 1314 of the family's 1533-position model. The record is from RNAcentral.